GUGGCGCACGGGUGAGUAACGCGUGGGAAUCUGCCCCGGAGCGGGGAAUAACAGUUGGAAACGGUUGCUAAUACCGCAUACGCCCUACGGGGGAAAGGCUUCGGCCGCUAUUAGAUGAGCCCGCGUAAGAUUAGCUUGUUGGUAGGGUAAUGGCCUACCAAGGCAACGAUCUUUAGCUGGUCUGAGAGGACGAUCAGCCACACUGGGACUGAGACACGGCCCAGACUCC
RNAcentral lists this ribosomal RNA (229 nucleotides) under uncultured bacterium. Its description in RNAcentral is "partial 16S ribosomal RNA". It matches the Rfam family "Bacterial small subunit ribosomal RNA", at positions 95 to 339 of the family's 1533-position model. The record is from RNAcentral.